AAUCAACGCUGGCGGCGUGCCUAACACAUGCAAGUCGAACGGGAAAGUGGUAGCAAUACCAUGAGUAUAGUGGCGCACGGGUGAGUAACACGUGACUAACCUACCCUGGAGUGGGGAAUAACUGGAGGAAACUUCAGCUAAUACCGCAUAACACCUACGGGUCAAAGGAGCAAUUCGCUUCAGGAGGGGGUCGCGGUCGAUUAGUUAGUUGGUGGGGUAAAGGCCCACCAAGGCUACGAUGGUUAGCCGGCCUGAGAGGGUGAUCGGCCACAUUGGGACUGAGAUACGGCCCAGACUCCUACGGGAGGCAGCAGUAGGGAAUUUUGCACAAUGGGGGAAACCCUGAUGCAGCAACGCCGCGUGGAGGAUGAAGUCCCUUGGGAUGUAAACUCCUUUCGACCGGGACGAUAAUGACGGUACCGGUGGAAGAAGCCCCGGCUAACUCUGUGCCAGCAGCCGCGGUAAUACAGAGGGGGCAAGCGUUGUUCGGAAUUAUUGGGCGUAAAGGGUGCGUAGGCGGUGCGGUAAGUCUCUUGUGAAAUCUCCGGGCUCAACUCGGAGCCUGCAAGGGAAACUGUCGUGCUUGAGUAUGGGAGAGGUGAGUGGAAUUCCUGGUGUAGCGGUGAAAUGCGUAGAUAUCAGGAGGAACACCUGUGGCGAAAGCGGCUCACUGGACCAUUACUGACGCUGAUGCACGAAAGCUAGGGGAGCAAACAGGAUUAGAUACCCUGGUAGUCCUAGCCCUAAACGAUGAUUGCUUGGUGUAGCAGGUACCCAAUCCUGCUGUGCCGUAGCUAACGCGUUAAGCAAUCCGCCUGGGGAGUACGGUCGCAAGGCUG
This 839-nucleotide ribosomal RNA is filed under the name uncultured bacterium. Its description in RNAcentral is "bacterial SSU rRNA". It matches the Rfam family "Bacterial small subunit ribosomal RNA", at positions 28 to 896 of the family's 1533-position model. The record is from RNAcentral.